This 443-nucleotide ribosomal RNA is filed under the name uncultured bacterium. RNAcentral describes it as "bacterial SSU rRNA". It matches the Rfam family "Bacterial small subunit ribosomal RNA", at positions 338 to 795 of the family's 1533-position model. The record is from RNAcentral.
CCUACGGGGGGCAGCAGUGGGGAAUAUUGCACAAUGGGGGAAACCCUGAUGCAGCGACGCCGCGUGAAGGAAGAAGGUUUUCGGAUCGUAAACUUCUAUCAGCAGGGAAGAAGAAAGUGACAGUAACUGACUAAGAAGCCCCGGCUAACUACGUGCCAGCAGCCGCGGUAAUACGUAGGGGGCAAGCGUUAUCCGGAAUCACUGGGGGUAAAGGGUGCGUAGGCGGUAGGGUAAGUCCGAUGUGAAAGCCCGAGGCUCCACCCCGGGAUUGCAUUUGAAACUGUCUUACUAUAGUGCAGGAGAGGAAAGCGGAAUUCCUAGUGUAGCGGUGAAAUGCGUAGAUAUUAGGAAGAACACCAGUGGCGAAGGCGGCUUUCUGGACUGUAACUGACGCUGAGGAACGAAAGAGUGGGGAGCGAACAGAAUUAGAUAACCAAGUAGUC